AGUGAACGCUGGCGGUAGGCCUAACACAUGCAAGUCGAACGGCAGCACAGUAAGAGCUUGCUCUUACGGGUGGCGAGUGGCGGACGGGUGAGGAAUACAUCGGAAUCUACUUUUUCGUGGGGGAUAACGUAGGGAAACUUACGCUAAUACCGCAUACGACCUACGGGUGAAAGCAGGGGAUCUUCGGACCUUGCGCGAUUGAAUGAGCCGAUGUCGGAUUAGCUAGUUGGCGGGGUAAAGGCCCACCAAGGCGACGAUCCGUAGCUGGUCUGAGAGGAUGAUCAGCCACACUGGAACUGAGACACGGUCCAGACUCCUACGGGAGGCAGCAGUGGGGAAUAUUGGGCAAUGGGCGCAAGCCUGAUCCAGCCAUACCGCGUGAGUGAAGAAGGCCUUCGGGUUGUAAAGCCCUUUUGUUAGGAAAGAAAAGCAGCAGGUUAAUACCCCGCUGUUCUGACGGUACCCAAAGAAUAAGCACCGGCUAACUUCGUG
This 492-nucleotide ribosomal RNA is filed under the name uncultured bacterium. Its description in RNAcentral is "partial 16S ribosomal RNA". It matches the Rfam family "Bacterial small subunit ribosomal RNA", at positions 29 to 507 of the family's 1533-position model. The record is from RNAcentral.